CCUACGGGAGGCAGCAGUGGGGAAUAUUGGACAAUGGGGGGAACCCUGAUCCAGCCAUGCCGCGUGUGUGAAGAAGGCCCUCGGGUUGUAAAGCACUUUCAGUGAGGAAGAACGCCUGGUGGUUAAUACCCAUCAGGAAAGACAUCACUCACAGAAGAAGCACCGGCUAACAUCCGUGCCAGCAGCCGCGGUAAUACGGAGGGUGCGAGCGUUAAUCGGAAUUACUGGGCGUAAAGCGCGCGUAGGUGGCGUGAUAAGCCGGUUGUGAAAGCCCCGGGCUCAACCUGGGAACGGCAUCCGGAACUGUCAAGCUAGAGUGCAGGAGAGGAAGGUAGAAUUCCCGGUGUAGCGGUGAAAUGCGUAGAGAUCGGGAGGAAUACCAGUGGCGAAGGCGGCCUUCUGGACUGACACUGACACUGAGGUGCGAAAGCGUGGGUAGCAAACAGGAUUAGAUACCCUGGUAGUC
This 466-nucleotide ribosomal RNA is filed under the name Vreelandella stevensii. RNAcentral describes it as "partial 16S ribosomal RNA". It matches the Rfam family "Bacterial small subunit ribosomal RNA", at positions 338 to 795 of the family's 1533-position model. The record is from RNAcentral. Lineage: Bacteria; Pseudomonadati; Pseudomonadota; Gammaproteobacteria; Oceanospirillales; Halomonadaceae.